UUAGGUUAAAAUACAAAAAAUCUCUUUGUAAAUAAUUUUUUCAGUUUUUUCUGACUUUCAAAAACCUAUAUUUUGCCUAUUUAAAAUUUCAGAAAUAUUUUCAGAAGGUCACGGUACUAAUGGAGACGGCGAAAUGACUAAAUCGCCAUGACUUGUUCUGUAAGAGAAAAAAAUAAUAUUUUUAAUAUAUUUUUAUAUUUUUAAGGACAUUUUUGAUAUAAAUUAUAAGAAAUUGACGGAAUUAUAACAGAACUCUUACGGAGGGGGACUAAAUCCAUCAACUUAAAAUUUUGAGUGGGUAAAAUAUAAAUGUUUAAAGGUUAAAAAAAUAAAUAUUUACAGAAAAAUUUUCUGUAUUUCGAUUUUAUUAUUAUUAUUAUUAUUAUUUUCAUAAUGGAAACUAACUCUCCAGAAUGCACAUGGGUGCACAUUGCAGAUGAAUAUUUCCUGAGCAGAUUACCUGCUGUGAACUUGAGGCUUGGUCAAGCUGCAGUUCGAUUAGCUGCAACCCUAAACCGCGUUUUCCGACAAAGCUGAGAUUAAUCGCGCUUUCCGCUUGUGUUUAGCUGCAAAAUAAAAUUUAAACCUCGUUCAAAAGUUUAGAUAUUUUCCUUGCGUCGCAUAAUAUGUCAACGUUCGUGAUCAUUUAUUUGGGUAAACUUUACUUUGUCUUUCUGGUAGUUUAGCAUAUUUUCACUUUAUCUCAGGCGGUUCAACAAAUUGCACUUAACUACUCUGUUAUUUUUAUUGUUAUUCCGCCGAAAAACUUGUUCAUCAAAUAGGAUAGUAAAAUAAAAUUGUUGAGAAACAUUAAAUGAUAUUGUUAAAUAUCAAAAUAUAUAAACACCAUUCUCUAACAGUUUAAGCUUUUAAAGUAUAACGAUUGCUUUACAUGAUAUCAAAGCAAGAGGCCUCGAGUUUGAGUCACGUCAAGCUUUAAGGCGUUAUUAACCCACAGCGUGGCAAAUGAAAACAUUCUAUACUAUAUAUAAGAGAGUUAAGUGAGGUAAAUUAUAAUUUACCCUUUUAAUUUCUUAUAAAUAUUUCUUGAUCUGAACAAACGGACGCCUUAUUGAAUAUUUCUAGUUACAAAAAUUAUUGGGAUAAUUUUAUAUGUAUUCCUGCAAAGUUUUAAACUUGCUAAUUUAUUCAUAUAAAGUUUAAAACUUUGCAGAUUUAUUCAUAUAAAGUUUGGAUUAUCAAGAUAUUUCUCUGAGUCUCCCAAAAAACACAAAUUUAAUAAUUUUUUUUUGAAUUUAUAAUUUAUAGUUCAUGUAGAAAGACACCAAAGUUAAAGAUAAAAAUACUAGAAAUGAUAAAUGAUGUUAGAUAGUAUUAAAAAGAUAAUAUAUUUAAGAAUAGAAGCAUUAUUUUACAGAAGAAAUGUUAACUUCAAUCAUUCAAUUAAUAGGAAGAGAUAUAUUUACAAACUAUGCAACUUAAAAAAAUAGGAAUAAUUACCUAUAUAGCCUCAUACGUUUGAAAAUAUCUAAUUUAUCCUCCCUCUUUUUUUUCUUUCUAAAAUAUCCUUCAUAUGUUCCACCGUUAUUGCAAAAUACCCCCACAGUUAUCUAAUGUUAAGUUAACUUGGGUUAAACGUGAGUUAAAUAUCUACCAGAGUUAAAAAAAAAUUAAAAUGUCAAUUUUGCCCUUAACUUAAGGGCAAAUAAGAAAUAUUGGCGACGGUAGAGGGGUAUAUUGGAAAAGAUCAAAAGUCAAAAUAUUUUUUGUGCCCCUGACUUUAAGGACAAAUAAGAAAGUUAGUAAUAGUGGAGGGGUAUAUUUGAAAGGGCAAAAUAGUAAUUUUACAGAGAUAACAGAGUUAAUUAACAGAUUUUAACUCUAGGGAUAUAUUAGAAAUAGGUUGGAACGUAGAAAGGGUAUUUUCAAUAUUAGCCUUCUAAGAUGGAUAAAUUGGAAAGUCGGAAACUUUUCAGGGAUAUAUAAGCAAUUGCCCCCCAAAAAAUAUAUAUUUUAUAGAAUUAGGCUACUAUACUAUCUAUAGUACCGGAGCUCCGGUACUAUAGUGUUGUUUUCGAUCUUAGGGCAUUCAAAUCAACGAUCCACACCGUUAAAUAUGAUCUAGGGUAUAUGAAGUUCUUAGGAAUAAAAUUUUAGUUUUUUUCGAUAUCGUUUACUUAGUAAAUAAAUUAUGUCAAAAUGGACGGUGGAAAUUGAAUACUCUUUAAAAUUUGAGCAUAGGACUUUUAAAUUUAAGAUCAAGAAUGUUAACCUUAAUCUAUAUAGUUUAAAGUAUUUUCUAUCAAAAUUUGAAGAAAUUUAGAUUCUUCUACACCGUUAAACUCCAAACUUGUCAUAAUAGCUAUUGAAAAUUGACAAUUUUGAAAUGGUUUGAUCAUAAAGUAAACUAUGUCGAAAAAAUAUAAAAUUUUAUUUUUAAAAACUUUAAAUACCAUAGAUCAAUUUUAACGGUGUGGAUCGUUGAUUUGAACGCCCAAAGAUCGAAAACAACACUAUAGUACCGGAGCUCCGAUAUUAUAGAUAGUAUAGUAGCCUAGCUCAUAUUUUAUAACUAUAAGAGAUUAAUCUAAACUUUUUUCAUAUUUAUUAUGCAGAAUAUUUUUUAGU
RNAcentral lists this long non-coding RNA (2589 nucleotides) under Ananas comosus (pineapple). Its description in RNAcentral is "long non-coding RNA (ACOM_LNC016840)". The record is from RNAcentral. Lineage: Eukaryota; Viridiplantae; Streptophyta; Magnoliopsida; Poales; Bromeliaceae.